GGCUAUGGCCAUGCUACCCUGAACAAGCCCAAUCUCGUCUGAUCUCAGAAGCUAAGCAGGGUCAGGCCUAGUUAAUACUUGGAAGGGAGACCACCUAGGAAGACCAGGUGCUGGAGGCC
Molecule: non-coding RNA, 119 nt
Organism: Pteropus alecto (black flying fox)
Lineage: Eukaryota; Metazoa; Chordata; Mammalia; Chiroptera; Pteropodidae
Source: Rfam